Molecule: ribosomal RNA, 442 nt
Filed under: uncultured bacterium
Lineage: Bacteria
Description: partial 16S ribosomal RNA
Rfam family: Bacterial small subunit ribosomal RNA
Source: RNAcentral
CUACGGGAGGCUGCAGUGGGGAAUAUUGGGCAAUGGAGGAAACUCUUACCCAGCAAUGCCGCGUGAAUGAAGAAGGUCUUAGGAUUGUAAAGUUCUUUUAUUGGUGACGAACAAAAUGACGGUAGCCAAUGAAUAAGCCCCGGCUAACUACGUGCCAGCAGCCGCGGUAAUACGUAGGGGGCAAGCGUUGUCCGGAAUGACUGGGCGUAAAGGGUGUGUAGGCGGUUUAUCAAGUUGAAAGUGUAAUCCCCGGGCUUAACUCGGGUGCUGCUUUCAGAACUGAUAGACUUGAGUGCAGUAGAGAAAAGUGGAAUUCCUAGUGUAGCGGUGGAAUGCGUAGAUAUUAGGAGGAACACCAGUGGCGAAGGCGACUUUUUGGACUGUAACUGACGCUGAGGCACGAAAGUGUGGGGAGCAAACAGGAUUAGAUACCCCAGUAGUC